GUGUGUUUGCGAACGAGAGAGAGAGAGGGCAAGGGAACAAACCCUAGUUCUAAAAUUCAGGCCAAAAUCCUACAAAUCAAGAAGGCAAAGGGCUGAAUUAUUGAUGCAAGAGGCACGAAGAAGGAAGAAGGCGCAAGUCACUUGAAGUCACAAGCAUCUCAAGAUCGCGGGAGAAAGCAAACCUGUCGGGAUAACACGGUGGUAGCAUCCAAGUGAGCAAAAGUAGUGGCGGGAGCUGGAUCUGUUAAAUCAUCAGCAGGUAUUAUGAUCAUCUAAGGUUCCAAACUUGUGCUUGAACGA
Molecule: long non-coding RNA, 300 nt
Organism: Helianthus annuus (common sunflower)
Lineage: Eukaryota; Viridiplantae; Streptophyta; Magnoliopsida; Asterales; Asteraceae
Exons: 3
Source: RefSeq, a predicted model, not a curated record